GCCAGACUCCUACGGGAGGCAGCAGUGGGGAAUAUUGCACAAUGGGGGAAACCCUGAUGCAGCGACGCCGCGUGAGUGAAGAAGUAUUUCGGUAUGUAAAGCUCUCUCAGCAGGGAAGAUAAUGACGGUACCUGACUAAGAAGCCCCGGCUAACUACGUGCCAGCAGCCGCGGUAAUACGUAGGGGGCAAGCGUUAUCCGGAUUUACUGGGUGUAAAGGGUGCGCAGGUGGCAGGGCAAGUCAGGUGUGAAAGCCCGGGGCUCAACCCCGGUAUUGCAUUUGAAACUGUCCGGCUAGAGUGCAGGAGAGGUAAGCGGAAUUCCUAGUGUAGCGGUGAAAUGCGUAGAUAUUAGGAGGAACACCAGUGGCGAAGGCGGCUUACUGGACUGUAACUGACACUGAGGCACGAAAGCGUGGGGAGCAAACAGGAUUAGAUACCCCCGUAC
RNAcentral lists this ribosomal RNA (446 nucleotides) under uncultured bacterium. Its description in RNAcentral is "bacterial SSU rRNA". It matches the Rfam family "Bacterial small subunit ribosomal RNA", at positions 330 to 793 of the family's 1533-position model. The record is from RNAcentral.